UUCAAAAAAUUCUGCUCAUCCUUUCAAUAUAUUGGCUGCUUUGGUUCCAGUUUUCCUUUCUGAGAUGCUGUUAAUUUUUAUUCUCCUUUUAGAUUUCUCUACUUUGGUUCUUGGGUGGUUGGGUACGUGAAUCUUCAAGAAUUUUUAACCAAGUUCUCAACUUCUACUGAUUUCUCCUUCAACCGUUUGCUCAAUGUUGUGAGUGUGCUUUGGUGUUGGUUGCUUUCAUCGUUGCUUCAACUGUCUGUUCUUUUUUCUCGACUUCAGGGCAGGGAGAAAGCAAAAGGGUGCACAAGCAGAUGGAAAAAAUCGGCUUGUUUUAGGAAAGAAAGUCAAAUAUGGAAGUCAAAACUCUUCAGGAGAAAAAACUCACUUCCGUCCUCAUUGCACAAAUGAAGUAAUGGUGUGAUUGAGAUCACGGAUAGGGAACUGCAAACUUACCCGAGGAAAACGAUUACUGAUGGAACUUCUAUUUGAAACCUGGCUUCUUCUCUGCUUUGCCGAAUUUUAAUACUGCUGGAAAAGGUUGGGUUGUGGAGAUGUUGGAAGUGGCUACUUGGCUGAACUGAGUCGAACCAAAUGUUACUUUGCUAUGAAAGUCACACAUAAAGUAGCUGCCACAAAGCAUCUUCGUGCUCAGACCAAAAGAGAAAUUUUACAGUCCCUUGAUCAUCUUUUUCUUCCAUCACUCUACAGACACUGCGAUGCGAGACUGAUAAGUUCUCAUGUUUGGUCAUGGAUUCUACCCUGGAGGGGAUUUCCACACUCUUACGCAGGGACAACCAAGGAAACAUAUUUUUGAACAAGCGGUGAAGUAUAACCUCCUUUCAGUCUUUGGAGUAUGAUUUUCCUAUUGAUACUUUCUGAGUUCCACGUUGAAAAACAAAAAAGAUGUUUUCCUUAGAUGUCUUCUCAGACGAUGAAUUUGAACUAAUUCUGGAGUUAACAAGGCGUAUUUACUAACAAUGGAGCAAUGUGGCAUACCAAAGUGCAAUCGCUCUUGUAGUUACAAGAGGUUGAAUUAUAGCAAGAUAGCAAGAAUGACUUCUUUGCAAUAU
Lycium ferocissimum is the source of this 1058-nucleotide long non-coding RNA. RefSeq lists it as uncharacterized. The transcript has 3 exons. The record is from RefSeq and is a predicted model, not a curated record. Lineage: Eukaryota; Viridiplantae; Streptophyta; Magnoliopsida; Solanales; Solanaceae.